UACGAAGGGUGCAAGCGUUGUUCGGAUUUAUUGGGCGUAAAGCGCGCGCAGGCGGGUCAUUAAGUCAGAUGUGAAAUCUCAGGGCUCAACCCUGAAACUGCGUCUGAAACUGAUAAUCUAGAAUGUCGGAGAGGGAAGGGGAAUUUCACAUGUAGGGGUAAAAUCCGUAGAUAUGUGAAGGAAUACCAGAGGCGAAGGCGCCUUCCUGGACGAUGAUUGACGCUGAGGCGCGAAAGCGUGGGGAGCAAACAGG
This 253-nucleotide ribosomal RNA is filed under the name uncultured bacterium. RNAcentral's name for it is "partial 16S ribosomal RNA". It matches the Rfam family "Bacterial small subunit ribosomal RNA", at positions 524 to 776 of the family's 1533-position model. The record is from RNAcentral.